AAUGCCCGCAAGGGUGACCCAGCAACGCCGCGUGGAGGAUGAAGGCCGUAAGGUUGUAAACUCCUGUUAGAGGAGACGAAUGAUCGUAAUUCGUAAGGAUUAUGAUUUGACUGUACCCUCAGAGAAAGCCCCGGCUAACUACGUGCCAGCAGCCGCGGUAAUACGUAGGGGGCAAGCGUUGUCCGGAUUUACUGGGUGUAAAGGGCGCGCAGGCGGGUUUGCAAGUCAGUGGUGAAAGCCUACAGCUUAACUGUAGAACUGCCUUUGAUACUGUUAUUCUUGAGUUCGGGAGAGAGAGACGGAAUUCCAGGUGUAGUGGUGAAAUACGUAGAUAUCUGGAAGAACACCAGUUGCGAAGGCGGUCUCUUGGUCCGAUACUGACGCUGAGGCGCGAAAGCGUGGGGAGCAAA
Molecule: ribosomal RNA, 410 nt
Filed under: uncultured bacterium
Lineage: Bacteria
Description: bacterial SSU rRNA
Rfam family: Bacterial small subunit ribosomal RNA
Source: RNAcentral